AUUGAACGCUGGCGGCAUGCCUUACACAUGCAAGUCGAACGGCAGCACGGGUGCUUGCACCUGGUGGCGAGUGGCGAACGGGUGAGUAAUACAUCGGAACGUACCUUAUCGUGGGGGAUAACGCAGCGAAAGUUGCGCUAAUACCGCAUAAGCCCUGAGGGGGAAAGCGGGGGACCGUAAGGCCUCGCGCGAUUAGAGCGGCCGAUGUCUGAUUAGCUUGUUGGUGAGGUAAAAGCUCACCAAGGCGAUGAUCAGUAGCUGGUCUGAGAGGACGAUCAGCCACACUGGGACGGAGACACGGCCCAGACUCCUACGGGAGGCAGCAGUGGGGAAUUUUGGACAAUGGGGGCAACCCUGAUCCAGCAAUGCCGCGUGAGUGAAGAAGGCCUUCGGGUUGUAAAGCUCUUUUGUCAGGGAAGAAACAGCAGCUCUAACACAGUCUGCGAAUGACGGUACCUGAAGAAUAAGCACCGGCUAACUACGUGCCAGCAGCCGCCGCGG
RNAcentral lists this ribosomal RNA (501 nucleotides) under uncultured bacterium. RNAcentral describes it as "partial 16S ribosomal RNA". It matches the Rfam family "Bacterial small subunit ribosomal RNA", at positions 30 to 523 of the family's 1533-position model. The record is from RNAcentral.